ACGAACGCUGGCGGCAUGCCUAACACAUGCAAGUCGAACGAGACCUUCGGGUCUAGUGGCGCACGGGUGCGUAACGCGUGGGAACCUGCCCUUAGGUUCGGAAUAACUCCCCGAAAGGGGUGCUAAUACCGGAUAAUGUCUUCGGACCAAAGAUUUAUCGCCUUUGGAUGGGCCCGCGUUGGACUAGCUAGUUGGUAGGGUAAAAGCCUACCAAGGCGACGAUCCAUAGCUGGUCUGAGAGGAUGAUCAGCCACACUGGGACUGAGACACGGCCCAGACUCCUACGGGAGGCAGCAGUGGGGAAUAUUGGACAAUGGGCGAAAGCCUGAUCCAGCAAUGCCGCGUGAGUGAUGAAGGCCUUAGGGUUGUAAAGCUCUUUUAUCCGGGAUGAUAAUGACAGUACCGGGAGAAUAAGCUCCGGCUAACUCCGUG
This 432-nucleotide ribosomal RNA is filed under the name uncultured bacterium. RNAcentral's name for it is "partial 16S ribosomal RNA". It matches the Rfam family "Bacterial small subunit ribosomal RNA", at positions 29 to 507 of the family's 1533-position model. The record is from RNAcentral.